RNAcentral lists this ribosomal RNA (2900 nucleotides) under Escherichia coli 3-073-06_S1_C1. RNAcentral's name for it is "bacterial LSU rRNA". It matches the Rfam family "Bacterial large subunit ribosomal RNA". The record is from RNAcentral. Lineage: Bacteria; Pseudomonadati; Pseudomonadota; Gammaproteobacteria; Enterobacterales; Enterobacteriaceae.
UAAGCGACUAAGCGUACACGGUGGAUGCCCUGGCAGUCAGAGGCGAUGAAGGACGUGCUAAUCUGCGAUAAGCGUCGGUGAGGUGAUAUGAACCGUUAUAACCGGCGAUUUCCGAAUGGGGAAACCCAGUGUGUUUCGACACACUAUCAUUAACUGAAUCCAUAGGUUAAUGAGGCGAACCGGGGGAACUGAAACAUCUAAGUACCCCGAGGAAAAGAAAUCAACCGAGAUUCCCCCAGUAGCGGCGAGCGAACGGGGAGGAGCCCAGAGCCUGAAUCAGUGUGUGUGUUAGUGGAAGCGUCUGGAAAGGCGCGCGAUACAGGGUGACAGCCCCGUACACAAAAAUGCACAUACUGUGAGCUCGAUGAGUAGGGCGGGACACGUGGUAUCCUGUCUGAAUAUGGGGGGACCAUCCUCCAAGGCUAAAUACUCCUGACUGACCGAUAGUGAACCAGUACCGUGAGGGAAAGGCGAAAAGAACCCCGGCGAGGGGAGUGAAAAAGAACCUGAAACCGUGUACGUACAAGCAGUGGGAGCCUCUUAAUGGGGUGACUGCGUACCUUUUGUAUAAUGGGUCAGCGACUUAUAUUCUGUAGCAAGGUUAACCGAAUAGGGGAGCCGAAGGGAAACCGAGUCUUAACUGGGCGUUAAGUUGCAGGGUAUAGACCCGAAACCCGGUGAUCUAGCCAUGGGCAGGUUGAAGGUUGGGUAACACUAACUGGAGGACCGAACCGACUAAUGUUGAAAAAUUAGCGGAUGACUUGUGGCUGGGGGUGAAAGGCCAAUCAAACCGGGAGAUAGCUGGUUCUCCCCGAAAGCUAUUUAGGUAGCGCCUCGUGAAUUCAUCUCCGGGGGUAGAGCACUGUUUCGGCAAGGGGGUCAUCCCGACUUACCAACCCGAUGCAAACUGCGAAUACCGGAGAAUGUUAUCACGGGAGACACACGGCGGGUGCUAACGUCCGUCGUGAAGAGGGAAACAACCCAGACCGCCAGCUAAGGUCCCAAAGUCAUGGUUAAGUGGGAAACGAUGUGGGAAGGCCCAGACAGCCAGGAUGUUGGCUUAGAAGCAGCCAUCAUUUAAAGAAAGCGUAAUAGCUCACUGGUCGAGUCGGCCUGCGCGGAAGAUGUAACGGGGCUAAACCAUGCACCGAAGCUGCGGCAGCGACACUAUGUGUUGUUGGGUAGGGGAGCGUUCUGUAAGCCUGUGAAGGUGUGCUGUGAGGCAUGCUGGAGGUAUCAGAAGUGCGAAUGCUGACAUAAGUAACGAUAAAGCGGGUGAAAAGCCCGCUCGCCGGAAGACCAAGGGUUCCUGUCCAACGUUAAUCGGGGCAGGGUGAGUCGACCCCUAAGGCGAGGCCGAAAGGCGUAGUCGAUGGGAAACAGGUUAAUAUUCCUGUACUUGGUGUUACUGCGAAGGGGGGACGGAGAAGGCUAUGUUGGCCGGGCGACGGUUGUCCCGGUUUAAGCGUGUAGGCUGGUUUUCCAGGCAAAUCCGGAAAACCAAGGCUGAGGCGUGAUGACGAGGCACUACGGUGCUGAAGCGACAAAUGCCCUGCUUCCAGGAAAAGCCUCUAAGCAUCAGGUAACAUUAAAUCGUACCCCAAACCGACACAGGUGGUCAGGUAGAGAAUACCAAGGCGCUUGAGAGAACUCGGGUGAAGGAACUAGGCAAAAUGGUGCCGUAACUUCGGGAGAAGGCACGCUGAUAUGUAGGUGAAGCGACUUGCUCGUGGAGCUGAAAUCAGUCGAAGAUACCAGCUGGCUGCAACUGUUUAUUAAAAACACAGCACUGUGCAAACACGAAAGUGGACGUAUACGGUGUGACGCCUGCCCGGUGCCGGAAGGUUAAUUGAUGGGGUUAGCGGUAACGCGAAGCUCUUGAUCGAAGCCCCGGUAAACGGCGGCCGUAACUAUAACGGUCCUAAGGUAGCGAAAUUCCUUGUCGGGUAAGUUCCGACCUGCACGAAUGGCGUAAUGAUGGCCAGGCUGUCUCCACCCGAGACUCAGUGAAAUUGAACUCGCUGUGAAGAUGCAGUGUACCCGCGGCAAGACGGAAAGACCCCGUGAACCUUUACUAUAGCUUGACACUGAACAUUGAGCCUUGAUGUGUAGGAUAGGUGGGAGGCUUUGAAGUGUGGACGCCAGUCUGCAUGGAGCCGACCUUGAAAUACCACCCUUUAAUGUUUGAUGUUCUAACGUUGGCCCGUAAUCCGGGUUGCGGACAGUGUCUGGUGGGUAGUUUGACUGGGGCGGUCUCCUCCUAAAGAGUAACGGAGGAGCACGAAGGUUGGCUAAUCCUGGUCGGACAUCAGGAGGUUAGUGCAAUGGCAUAAGCCAGCUUGACUGCGAGCGUGACGGCGCGAGCAGGUGCGAAAGCAGGUCAUAGUGAUCCGGUGGUUCUGAAUGGAAGGGCCAUCGCUCAACGGAUAAAAGGUACUCCGGGGAUAACAGGCUGAUACCGCCCAAGAGUUCAUAUCGACGGCGGUGUUUGGCACCUCGAUGUCGGCUCAUCACAUCCUGGGGCUGAAGUAGGUCCCAAGGGUAUGGCUGUUCGCCAUUUAAAGUGGUACGCGAGCUGGGUUUAGAACGUCGUGAGACAGUUCGGUCCCUAUCUGCCGUGGGCGCUGGAGAACUGAGGGGGGCUGCUCCUAGUACGAGAGGACCGGAGUGGACGCAUCACUGGUGUUCGGGUUGUCAUGCCAAUGGCACUGCCCGGUAGCUAAAUGCGGAAGAGAUAAGUGCUGAAAGCAUCUAAGCACGAAACUUGCCCCGAGAUGAGUUCUCCCUGACUCCUUGAGGGUCCUGAAGGAACGUUGAAGACGACGACGUUGAUAGGCCGGGUGUGUAAGCGCAGCGAUGCGUUGAGCUAACCGGUACUAAUGAACCGUGAGGCUUAACCU